RNAcentral lists this ribosomal RNA (1720 nucleotides) under Solenofilomorpha pellucida. RNAcentral describes it as "SSU rRNA". It matches the Rfam family "Eukaryotic small subunit ribosomal RNA". Lineage: Eukaryota; Metazoa; Xenacoelomorpha; Acoela; Solenofilomorphidae. The record is from RNAcentral.
AUGCACGUAUAAGUUCAGCUCAAGGAAAGCGAAACCGCGAAUGGCUCAGUAAAUCAGUCAUGAUUUAUUUGAUAGUUUUUUUACUUGGAUAACUGUGGUAACUCUAGAGCUAAUACAUGCUAUUCCUCACGUCCUAUCGUAAUGACUGGCAGGGGAGCUUUUAUUAGUUUCAAGUCCGUAAGCCUUUAGCCCCACCAACGGGGCUCUUGUGCUGGCUUGGUGAACUCUAGAUAACUGCAGGACCCAGCAAGCCUUUUUUGACUUGUGGGCGUGUCAUUCAAGUGUCUGCCCUAUCAAGUUUGGUUGGUAGUGUAACGGACUACCAAGCUGACGACGGGUAACGGGGAAUCAGGGUUCGAUUCCGGAGAGGGAGCCUGAGAAACGGCUACCACAUCUAAGGAAGGCAGCAGCCGCGCAAAUUACCCAAUCUCAGCACGAGGAGGUAGUGACGAAAAAUAACAAUACGGGGCCCAAGGGUCUCGUCAUUGGAUUGAGCAUAAUCUAAACACUUAUGCGAUAUCUAGUAGAGGGCAAGUCUGGUGCCAGCAGCCGCGGUAAUUCCAGCUCUACAAGCGUAUACUCAUGAUGCUGCGGUUAAAAAGCUCGUAGUUGGAUCUGAAGCAGGGGCCCAGUGCUCAUCGCAAGUGUGACAUUGGGUUUUUUAGCCCUGCUCCCCCUCCGUUUGACGGCAUUUGCACUUUACUGUGUGAGUGCUUGAUAUGGAGUUAGUACUUUGAAAAAAUUAGAGUGUUCAAAGCAGGUAUACUUGUAUACUGAAGCAUGGAAUAGUAGAGUAGGGCCGCGCCCUCAAACAACUGGUCUCUUGGCGUGCGGAAAUGAUUAAAAGGGACAGGCGGGGGCAUUCGUAUUGUCACGUUAGAGGUGAAAUUCUUGGAUCGUGACAAGACGGACUACUGCGAAAGCAUUUGCCAAGAAUGUUUUCAUUAAUCAAGAACGAAAGUUAGAGGAUUGAAGAGGAUCAGAUACCCUCGUAGUUCUAACCAUAAACUUUGCCAACUUGCUGUCAGCCGAUGUUGCUUAUGACACGGCUGGCGGCUACCGGGAAACCAAAGUGUUUGGGUUCCGGGGGAAGUAUGGUUGCAAAACUGAAACUUAAAGGAAUUGACGGAAGGGCACCACCAGGAGUGGAGCCUGCGGCUUAAUUUGACUCAACACGGGAAAACUCACCAGGUCCAGACAUAGUAAGGAUUGACAGACUGAAGCUCUCUCUUGAUUUUCUAUGGUUGGUGGUGCAUGGCCGUUCUUAGUUGGUGGAGCGAUUUGUCAGGUUAAUUCUGAUAACGAACGAGACCCCAACCUGCUAACUAGCGAGGUUAACAUUUGUUAACCGUAGCUUCUUAGAGGGACAGGGUUUUUUCAAGGAUCAGGAAGAGGGGUCAUAACAGGUCUGUGAUGCCCUUAGACGUCCUGGGCUGCACGCGCGCUACACUGGGUGCUACAGCAUGUAUGCCACCUGGUCCGAAAAGGUCCGGGCAAUCACCAAUAGCACCCGUGCUUGGGAUAGAUUUUUGUUAGUAUGAGUCUUGAACGAGGAAUUCCUAGUAAGCGCAAGUCAUUAGCUUGCGUUGAUUACGUCCCUGCCCUUUGUACACACCGCCCGUCGCUACUACCGAUUGGAUGUUUAAGCGAACAACUCUGACUCUGGAGCGUUUGCAGUUAUGCGGCGUGCCGGACGAUGUACCGUAAGCUUUGAUAUCUA